AGUGAACGCUGGCGGCGUGCUUAACACAUGCAAGUCGAACGAGAACGGGCUAUAGCUUGCUAUAGUUGUCAGCUAAGUGGCGCACGGGUGAGUAAUGUAUAGGUAAUAUGCCUCUUACUAAGGGAUAACAAAUGGAAACGUUUGCUAAUACCUUAUACUCCUUAUUAACAGAAGUUAAUAAGGGAAAGAUUUAUUGGUAAGAGAUUAGCCUGUAUUGUAUCAGUUAGUUGGUGGGGUAAUGGUUUACCAAGACUAUGACUCAUAACUGGUUUGAGAGGAUGAUCAGUCACACUGGAACUGAGACACGGUCCAGACUCCUACGGGAGGCAGCAGUGGGGAAUAUUGCACAAUGGACGAAAGUCUGAUGCAGCAACGCCGCGUGGAGGAUGACACAUUUCGGUGCGUAAACUCCUUUUAUAUGAGAAGAUAAUGACGGUAUUAUAUGAAUAAGCACCGGCUAACUCCGUGCCAGCAGCCGCCGUAA
Molecule: ribosomal RNA, 484 nt
Filed under: uncultured bacterium
Lineage: Bacteria
Description: partial 16S ribosomal RNA
Rfam family: Bacterial small subunit ribosomal RNA
Source: RNAcentral